RNAcentral lists this long non-coding RNA (799 nucleotides) under Linum usitatissimum (flax). Its description in RNAcentral is "long non-coding RNA (LUSI_LNC007290)". The record is from RNAcentral. Lineage: Eukaryota; Viridiplantae; Streptophyta; Magnoliopsida; Malpighiales; Linaceae.
ACGCUUUAGUAGCCCAUAAGGAAAGAUUUGGGGCCUUACAAAGAUUAAGCAGUCUGCAGUACCGGCCCGGGUGAAUAUUCAUGAAAAUGAAAUAGAAAACAUAUGUUUGGUUUACAUAGACGAGUACUAAACCGAUGAUGGGAAAUUCAGAAUAUGAUCUGAUUUUACAAGUAGCUAGCCUUAUUAAUUAAUUACCAGCAGCAGCACUGCUCCACCGCCCAGCAGCAACAUAGCAUCGCCAAGCUACGUACGUAUCAAUAUAAAAUUCAUCAUCAAACUAUGCAUGCAUAUAUCCUUAUAUAUAUAAUUUAAAUGAAUAAAACAUAACAAGAAAAGAAAAGCAUACGUACCAUCCUCUGAGACGAGAGAAGAAGCCAGCCGAAUCAUCAUCAUAGCGACGUCGGUAUCGAUCUUGAUGCCACCCUGCCGGUACUGCCGAGGGAUGGUGGUCGAAGUAGUCUUGAUAUUGACGAUCAUGACUACCACCGUGGAACGGCGGUGCUGGUGCUCGAUCAUAUGGGUCAUCGUAAGUCAUCACCUGCGGAUAUCCAGAUGGAUUCGCUGGCCCUGGGCGAGGUGGAGGCGGCGGCUGCUCGUAGGAUUCAUGAGCAAUAUGUUGGUAGUUCAUUAUUCUAUAUGUUUUCCUCUGCUAUUAGUAAUCUUAAUUGAACGUCAAUCUAGCUAGCUAUCUCCAAUAUAGUAUAUGAGACCGAGUGUUUAUCUUCAGUCGGUUGCCAGUUCCUGCAAUGGAUAUAUGCGACCGAGUGUUUGUCUUCAGUCGGUUGUAUGUGGUUUCUCC